Molecule: transfer RNA, 72 nt
Filed under: Bos taurus (domestic cattle)
Lineage: Eukaryota; Metazoa; Chordata; Mammalia; Artiodactyla; Bovidae
Also listed under: 6 other names
Rfam family: tRNA
About the family: Transfer RNA (tRNA) molecules are approximately 80 nucleotides in length. Their secondary structure includes four short double-helical elements and three loops (D, anti-codon, and T loops). Further hydrogen bonds mediate the characteristic L-shaped molecular structure. tRNAs have two regions of fundamental functional importance: the anti-codon, which is responsible for specific mRNA codon recognition, and the 3' end, to which the tRNAs corresponding amino acid is attached (by aminoacyl-tRNA synthetases). tRNAs cope with the degeneracy of the genetic code in two manners: having more than one tRNA (with a specific anti-codon) for a particular amino acid; and 'wobble' base-pairing, i.e. permitting non-standard base-pairing at the 3rd anti-codon position.
Source: Rfam by way of RNAcentral
UCCCUUGUGGCUUAGCUGGUAAAGAAUCCACCUGCAAUGUGGGAAACCUGGGUUCGAUCCCUGGGUUGGGAA